UUGUGAGCGAUUGGAUUGCAAAGUAAACUCGGACUCCUUCAAAACUGCUUCAGCGAAUUCAGUUGAUCGGAGGUCCAUUGCAUGUUGCAUCAUUAUUCUUAGUUCUUUGUUUGUUAUAGCAUUAGCUUUUUUGAGUACCGCAUACGAAUGUAAUAUCCCUGAAGAAUUUUUCAUCAUCAAAGCGACAAGCAUUAAUAGUCUGUGGCUAGGUAGAUAAAAUGAAGAUGAUUCAAUUGAAAAUGGUUGCAUCUGCUUGCUAAUGGCGGCAAAAUCGUUCGAAGCACGUGAAAGAGACUCAGCAAUAAGCAGUAAAUUUUCUGUGGAAGAAAGCAUUUUACUUUGUUUAAACCAAGCUUGGCAAAAGCGUACCGCUAAUGUCGGCUUAUUAGCCAAACAAAAGUUGAUCACCAUCAUCCGAAGAUAGGCGUCAUUAAUCGGGAUAUUAUUAUUCUUGAGGUAUACUAGAAGUUCAAGAGCAGCUUCCAAUUCACCGGUUGACAAUAAAGCCAACAAAGACCUGUCUAUGGCUGUGCGAUUAAUUUCUUUAAAGCUUCCGUUAUAUAACAUAGGCAAUAGAAGCUUAACUCCUGGAACAUAAUAUGAGUAAGAAAAACAUAACAAUAAAUCAUAAUAGAGGUUUUGGAGUUCACUCUUUUCAUCUUUGGAAAGGGCUUCACGGUUAUUAAGAAGUCGUUUAAAUAAAGAGUUUGUGAGGAAGAAGCAAAUUUCAAUGUUUUCACCCGCUUCCGAUGUAUAGACCAGCAACCUGCGAAAGAUUCGACGGGCGACUUUAAAUGCUAUUGGCUGACCUUCUAUAGUUUCAACAAUACCUUCCUUGUCUCUAGUUUUCAAAAGGGUCCAAAAGAUGUUAACAAAAGCAACACGACUUAAAUCAAUCAUGGCAUUAGCUGCAUAUGUACGCAACCUUCGGGCCAAUUCAGCAGAACGGUUUUUAUGAGCAAUGAUACUAGCUUUUUCAAGAAAUCGCAUAGUGAAUAACUCAUUAGAUUGACUGAAUUUAUCCAAAAUUUCAUUGAG
This is a non-coding RNA of Schizosaccharomyces pombe (fission yeast), 1038 nucleotides long. NCBI's taxonomy places the organism in Eukaryota, Fungi, Ascomycota, Schizosaccharomycetes, Schizosaccharomycetales, Schizosaccharomycetaceae. The record is from the annotation of a GenBank genome assembly.